Molecule: ribosomal RNA, 1115 nt
Filed under: Candidatus Phytoplasma phoenicium
Lineage: Bacteria; Bacillati; Mycoplasmatota; Mollicutes; Acholeplasmatales; Acholeplasmataceae
Description: bacterial SSU rRNA
Rfam family: Bacterial small subunit ribosomal RNA
Source: RNAcentral
UAGUUGGUAAGGUAAAGGCUUACCAAGACGAUGAUGUGUAGCUGGACUGAGAGGUCGAACAGCCACAUUGGGACUGAGACACGGCCCAAACUCCUACGGGAGGCAGCAGUAAGGAAUUUUUGGCAAUGGAGGAAACUCUGACCGAGCGACGCCGCGUGAACAAUGAAGUACUUCGGUAUGUAAAGUUCUUUUAUUGAAAAAGAAAAAAUAGUGGAAAAACUAUCUUGACAUUAUUCAAUGAAUAAGCCCCGGCUAAUUAUGUGCCAGCAGCCGCGGUAAUACAUAAGGGGCGAGCGUUAUCCGGAAUUAUUGGGCGUAAAGGGUGCGUAGGCGGUUUGAUAAGUCUAUAGUUUAAUUGCAGUGCUUAACGCUGUACCGCUAUAGAAACUGUCUGACUAGAGUUAGAUAGAGGCAAGCGGAAUUCCAUGUGUAGCGGUAAAAUGCGUAAAUAUAUGGAGGAACACCAGAGGCGUAGGCGGCUUGCUGGGUCUUAACUGACGCUGAGGCACGAAAGCGUGGGGAGCAAACAGGAUUAGAUACCCCUGGUAGUCCACGCCGUAAACGAUGAGUACUAAGUGUCGGGUUUUGGCUCGGUACUGAAGUUAACACAUUAAGUACUCCGCCUGAGUAGUACGUACGCAAGUAUGAAACUUAAAGGAAUUGACGGGACCCCGCACAAGCGGGGGAUCAUGUUGUUUAAUUCGAAGAUACACGAAAAACCUUACCAGGUCUUGACAUAAUUUUGCGACAUUAUAGAAAUAUAAUGAAGGUUAUCAGAAUUACAGGUGGUGCAUGGUUGUCGUCAGCUCGUGUCGUGAGAUGUUAGGUUAAGUCCUAAAACGAGCGCAACCCUUGUCGUUAGUUGCGACCACAUAAUGGUGAGCACUUUAGCGAGACUGCCAAUGAAAAAUUGGAGGAAGGUGAGGAUUACGUCAAAUCAUCAUGCCCCUUAUGAUCUGGGCUACAAACGUGAUACAAUGGCUGUUACAAAGGUAGGCUGAAGAACUUUUUAGCCAAUCCCAAAAAAACAGUCUCAGUUCGGAUUGAAGUCUGCAACUCGACUUCAUGAAGUUGGAAUCGCUAGUAAUCGCGAAUCAGCAUGUCGCGGUGAAUAC